UGACGCUGGCGGUAUGCUUAACACAUGCAAGUCGAACGGAAACGAUAGAAGCUUGCUUCUAGGCGUCGAGUGGCGGACGGGUGCGUAACGCGUGGGAAUUUACCUUUUAGUGGGGGAUAGCCCGGUGAAAACCGGAUUAAUACCGCAUACUACUCUACGGAGGAAAAGGGGCCUCUCCUUGGAAGCUCUUGCUAUUAGAUGAGCCCGCGUAAGAUUAGCUAGUUGGUUGAGGUAAUGGCUCACCAAGGCAACGAUCUUUAGCUGGUUUGAGAGGAUGAUCAGCCACACUGGGACUGAGACACGGCCCAGACUCCUACGGGAGGCAGCAGUGGGGAAUAUUGGACAAUGGGCGCAAGCCUGAUCCAGCAAUACCGCGUGUGUGAAGAAGGCCUGAGGGUUGUAAAGCACUUUCAAUAGGGACUAAAUGUUCGUAGUUAAUAACUGCGGAUCUUGAAUUAACCUAUAGAAGAAGGACCGGCUAACUCCGUGCCAGCAGCCGCGGUAAUACGGAGGGUCCGAGCGUUAAUCGGAAUUACUGGGCGUAAAGCGCGCGUAGGCGGUUUAUUAAGUCGGAUGUGAAAGCCCUGGGCUCAACCUGGGAACUGCAUUCGAUACUGGUAAACUAGAGUAUAGUAGAGGUAAGUGGAAUUCCAUGUGUAGCGGUGAAAUGCGUAGAUAUGUGGAGGAACAUCAGUGGCGAASGCGACUUACUGGACUAAUACUGACGCUGAGGUGCGAAAGCGUGGGGAGCAAACGGGAUUAGAUACCCCGGUAGUCCACGCCGUAAACGAUGUCAACUAGCCGUUGGGAGCAUUUGAGCUUUUAGUGGCGCAGCUAACGCAUUAAGUUGACCGCCUGGGGAGUACGCACGCAAG
RNAcentral lists this ribosomal RNA (875 nucleotides) under uncultured bacterium. RNAcentral describes it as "bacterial SSU rRNA". It matches the Rfam family "Bacterial small subunit ribosomal RNA", at positions 31 to 892 of the family's 1533-position model. The record is from RNAcentral.